RNAcentral lists this unclassified non-coding RNA (18 nucleotides) under Mus musculus (house mouse). Its description in RNAcentral is "oocyte_clustered_small_RNA14250". The record is from RNAcentral. Lineage: Eukaryota; Metazoa; Chordata; Mammalia; Rodentia; Muridae.
AAUGACUUGCACCUGACU